Molecule: long non-coding RNA, 1282 nt
Filed under: Anthonomus grandis grandis
Lineage: Eukaryota; Metazoa; Arthropoda; Insecta; Coleoptera; Curculionidae
Description: uncharacterized LOC126750567
Source: RNAcentral
CCGUCAAAUUGUUAUUAAAAAUGUUUUCAAGCUCCGAUAGUGACAGUGAUUCCAUAAGUAAUUGUGUAAAAUUGUGGUUGCUUUCCAGAAGAAAAUUCAGAAAAUGGGGUGUGCAUCCAUUGAACAAAGAACGUACUAAACUUGGUGAAUUCUAUACAUUGUAUCAACGUCUUAAAAGUUUUCCGAAUAGGUUCUACGGAUAUUUGCGAAUGUCUCAGUCGACAUUUAGUUAUAUUUUACAGCUGCUAGAACCUAGAAUUGAAAAGGUACUUAGCAAGUGGAAAUUCUUUUAGAAGUCUCGCAUUUUCAUUUCGAUUGGAAGCCUCUACUAUUGCGAGUAUUGUACGAGAAAUCACUGUUUUAUUAAGGGAAGUUUUGCAGCCUUUACAUAUGAAGCAACCCACUGAAGAACAGUUCAAAGAAAUUGCCAAUGGUUUCUAUUACAAAUGGAAUUUCCCACAAUGUCUAGGUGCAAUUGAUGGUAAACAUGUUCGAAUCAAAUGCCCAACUCGGUCAGGAACAAUGUUUUACAACUAUAAGCAAUAUUUUUCAAUUGUAUUACAAGCAGUCAGUGAUGCUAACUGUAAGUUUUUAUUUAUUGAAGUUGGGGCACAGGGCAUAACAGAGCGAUGGAGAAACGUUUCGGAGCUCUAAACUGUAUAAAUUAAUGGAAAGGCAAAGGCUGAACAUACCUGCUGAAGCAUACAUUCCAUGUUCAAAUAUUAAGGGGCCUUUUGUUUUUAUAGGCGAUGAAGCGUACCCUUUGUUGAAGAAUUUAAUGAAGCCAUACUGUAGAAACCAAUUAAAUGAAGAAAAUGAGCUAUUUAACAAAAGGCUUUCUCGAGCACGAAAAACUAUUAUAACAAUAAAAUGGAGAAUAUUAACCAAAGCUAUUGAAACUCAUCCUGACACCGCUGAUGCAAUUAUUAAGGCUAUAUGUAUUCUCCACAAUACUAUAAUUAACAAAGAACACAUAAUAUUUGAUGACUUUGCGGAGGACAGAAUGAGUGGGGUGCUGCAAGAUGUCCAAGCAACAAGAAGAAACAAUCGUUCCACAACAGAGGCUGUUUCGGUCAGAAAUUCAUUUAAGGAAUAUUUUGUUACCAAAAAUAAUAUUUGAUAUUAUGUUAUUAAGUCUGUUUACAUUUCUUAGGUUAAGACUUUCAGAAAUAUGGUCAUUAGGACAUUAGAUGCACAUAAAAUAAUUCACAUUGGACUAGUUUCACAUAAUUAUUAUCAUAAAUAUAAAAAAAUACCAAUAAACUAUACGUUUUUAUCGUAA